UUCUGCAGUGCCACCCAGUAAAGUAACUGUAAUAUAUCCCUCCAUCCAAUUAAUGUUGGGCUUGCUAUGUGACUUGCUGGAGCCAGUGGAAGGUUAGUGGCCAUGCUUAUAUGGCUUGGCUUGACCUCUUACCCUAGCAAGAAAAGAGUACAACCCAGGGAGCUACUGAUUUUUUACCCUAGAUCUUGGAAUCAAUUCAUGUGGAGCAUACCUAAACCCAACCAGAAGUCUAGAGUGAGUCAACAGAUCUAUCAAAUUGCUAGAAAAGUUAUUUUCUUCCAAUUUCUGUUGGGAAUAAACACGCCAAUUUCUGUUCUUAUCACAGACAAGUAAUGAGCAGUUAUAGACUGGCACUAGUCCAUCAACCCUUUAGGAGCACCAUCCGGCAGGAAGAACAUUGUCUAGGAACUCCAGCUAGGGCUGCAAAGCCAAGAACAAAGGGUGACUGGGACCUCUCAUUCUGUAAGAGAUGCUACCAUCCCACACAGGACUUAAUAAAGAGAGUCAGAAGGUUCCAAGACAAGCCCCCUUCCCAACUACAGGUCCUAAACCACAGGUGACUUCUGAGCUGGGAGCAAAGAGAAGCCCUGAAUCAGAUGGGAAAUUGACGCUUUGAUUUGGACCUGGACUUUUUAAUUCCCUAAAGUAGGGCUAUGGUUAAUACCUAAAAGUAAUUGAAUAAUAAUGUAUCAACAUUGCUUCAUUAAUUUUAAUUAAUGUAUCAUACUAAGGUAGGAUGUUGAUAAUCUCAGAAAACUGGGACUGUGGAAACUGUCUGUAGUAUCUUCUCCAUUUUUCUCUAAAAGUGUUCUAAGAAAUAAAGUCAAGAUAAAAACAUUUUUUAAAGUGAUUGAAAACCUCUGAGAUCUGCCUGAGAUGCCUUGAAGGGCUGAAGGAGGGAGAGCCAACAGAACAUGUUUGAAGGCAGUGGAGGGAGAAAAGUAAAGCUGUUUCUUGUUUGUACCCUAAAAGGCCAGUACAUUCAAUAACAGGUGAUAUUAGAGACACUUACAGAUGGAAUGAUUUUGAGAGUAUGACAAAAUUCUGAUAUUUUCUCCUAAACCAAAUGUCGUAAAAUGUGUUGACCUCUCUCCCAUAUCAAGCACCAUGAUACAGAGAUGACUAUGGCACGGGAUGGGAUUCCCUUUGGGUUUUGCUGCCCCAGCACACAUUUCUCCUGUUUCUUGGAUCCGCUCCUUCAUGUUCCUUUAGGAAAAUAUCCCUCCCUGACUCACACAAUCCAGGUGACCCAGGUAGAACUGAUUCCAAUCUCCUCCACACCCUUAAUCAAAGGUGGGACAUGACUCAGGUCUGGCCAAUCCUUCAGGUCAUAGAUUUCCAUUCCGGAAUGCACAGACAAUCCAAAUUUGUCCAGUGAGUCAUAAUCCCCAGAUUUAAGAGAAGCAGCUGGCUUUCCACUGCCAGGCCCACCCAAUACAGAGAACUCCCUGGGAAUAAAACUGAUGUGAAGAAAAAAGGAAAGUAAGCCCUAAAUCCUGAUGACAUCAUUUGAGCAGCUAGAUCCAGCCCUAUCUCACACUAAGUAUCCCUAGAACCUUUCAAUUAUGUAACACAAUAGUUUCUUUUUUCACUUAAAGUCAACUCAAGAUGGCUUUCUAUUCCUUGCAGGGAUAAGAUUCCUGAUAAAUUCUGCGCAAGUUCCACCCCUGAGCUAAUCUAAUGUGGGAGACAAACACAGAAAGGAACAUAACCAAGAUGCCAGCUGGGCCCUCCUGACCCAGGGAGAUGCAGGUGCCUGGCACAGACAUCUUCAUUCCAAGAGCACAAAGCCCUUCCCAUGACUUCUUAUUCCCAGAGAUGUGCAGCUUCCUGGGCCCAUUGGAUCUGCACCUGGGUCUGAGACUCCUCUCUUUGUUUUUACUCUACAUCUACUCAAAAGCAGAACCUGAACUUUGUCAACUUCACCAUAUAGUUGAAAGCAUCCAUGAGCGAUGCGGACUUUCCUGAAUGACAGAUAAGGGAGGCACAGUGCACCUCCUACAGUGAUCAGCCCAAAACCUCCAUCUCAGGCAUUCCUUGUGCUCCCUAAGUGCCUUCUCAGCUGCCCUUCUGAUGAAGGGAAGGAAGAACACUUUCGACUGGCUCCUCUAUCCCCAGAAGAGAAGAGUCACCCCAAGUGCCUUUCCUGCUCCCCAACUCUACUCCUAGAUCUUUAACUCCUCUACCUCCAUUAUGCACAGUGGCUCAACUCUGGCUCUCACCCCAAAGUUGUUUACAUACAAAUACACCAAGGUGCUUGGCAGAACAAAGCCUUACCUGUUAACUUAAUCCACUCUCUUUAGAAGCAAAUUGGGUAAAUAGAAAAACAAAAUCUUACUAAAUGAAAAAAAGAUUAUAACACUGUGCAGUAAAUACUGCAGUAGAGAAAGCUAUACAGGGAGUAUGGAAGGGAUUGGGGGGGGCGGGGAUUUGUGAACUCUGCCCAAGGCGACUUUAGGAAGGCUUCCCCGUGGAGGUGACACAUGAGCUGAUUGCAAAGCAUGGGGAAGUUUUUGACAGGUAGAGAAUAGAGGAAGGUCAUGACCAGCAUAAGGAAGAGCAUAUACUAAAAUGCAGAGACCGGAGGGGUCCUAGUCAAUGGGGGGAGCAGCUUGUGGAGAGUAUGGAGGACAAAUGGUAAGGAAGGAGGGGCUGAGGAAGUGAGUCAGGUGAGGUUGGCAGGAACCCAGUCAUUGAGGGUCUUGAUGCCAGUGAGCAGAUGGACUCCAUCCAGCAGGUGAAAGGAAGCCAUUAACAGAUUUUAGCAGGACAGUGACAUAGCCAGAUUUUGUUUAGAAAGGACAGGCCAGUUUGGAGGAGGUCACCAGUUUGGAGGAGAAAUUGGAAGGCUGAUGGAAAAGGGUAGAAUUGAGGGAAGAGGAGGUCAGGAAGCUGUUGCAAUGAUUCAGGCUGAAAAUGAUGGUGCUCUAAUGGGAUUGAGAGGGGAUGGAUGCACAUUGCAGAGCUUGGUGGCCACUUUAAUGUGGAAGGAAACAGGGAGGGAGGAACAAUUAUGUUUUCCUUUGGAGUGUGAACUGCUUGAUAAUGGGUCUAUGACUGUUCUGUGAAUUCUCAGCACAGGAUCUCACUCAGGGUUAGUGCUCAUUGCUGCACACCUGUAUAAACAAAUAAGAGCUGAUUAAUGAAUGAGUGUGCCAGGAAGGCUGUGUAGCCUACUCAGAGGUGAAGAGGGAAGUGGGGAUCACAGCCAGACAUCCUUUUCUAAGAAGAAAAGUGAAACUGUACGCUAGAAAAUAGGUCACAAGAUGAGCAACCUGAGAAUGGGAUGCAAGGAAGCCCAAGAACAGAUCAGGGCAGGGCAGGAAGUUCAGGGCUCGGCUGGUGAAUGAUUCUCAGAGAUCUACUUUCCAGUGGCAAAAAAAGGCCUUGAAGAACCAAGCAGGAGAGAAACUUCAGGAAAUAUGCCCUUUGUACCAUGUAUGAGGAAGUUAAUGCCGUCUAACAAAUCUCCCCGAAACUCAGUGGCUUUACAACAUCAGGCAUUUUUUCUCAUGCUCAUGGAUCUGCAGGUCACUGUGGCUUGGCAGAUCAAGGAUGGACUCGGCUGGACUUGGCAGGGCAGCUUUGCUUCAGCCUGCACAUUGGCUGAGCAUGGCUGAGCUUGGCUGGGCUUGGCUUCAACUAUAGGUUUGCCUCAGGGCCACUCCACAUGUCUCUCAACCCCCUUGGACUAGAG
Callithrix jacchus (white-tufted-ear marmoset) is the source of this 3697-nucleotide long non-coding RNA. NCBI's taxonomy places the organism in Eukaryota, Metazoa, Chordata, Mammalia, Primates, Cebidae. The record is from Ensembl.